RNAcentral lists this ribosomal RNA (303 nucleotides) under Triticum aestivum (bread wheat). RNAcentral describes it as "partial small subunit ribosomal RNA". The record is from RNAcentral. Lineage: Eukaryota; Viridiplantae; Streptophyta; Magnoliopsida; Poales; Poaceae.
AUGACACUACGAAAACCCGGAUCGCCAAGACCAGACCCGUCAAGUACCCCUUCGGAUUCGUCAAGACCCUCAUGUACGACUACACCCGAUGAUGCGUUAAGUGUCUCUACCGAUUACCCGAACAUCUACGAUCCAUGUACCACUACAGCCGCUCGAACAUCUACAGAACAUGCACCACUAUUGCCGCCGAGGGUUUCGUCAAGUUCAACUACAUCGACUACGAACAGUGACGACCCCGAACAUCUACGGAGAGUGUAUGACUACGACUGUGUACAACUACCAUCGUUGAAGGCCGUCGAGUGA